UACGUAGGGGGCAAGCGUUGUCCGGAAUCAUUGGGCGUAAAGCGCGUGUAGGCGGCUUGUCGCGUCGUCCGUGAAAACCUGGGGCUCAACUCCAGGCUUGCGGUCGAUACGGGCAUCACUUGAGUUCGGCAGGGGAGACUGGAAUUCCUGGUGUAGCGGUGAAAUGCGCAGAUAUCAGGAGGAACACCGGUGGCGAAGGCGGGUCUCUGGGCCGAUACUGACGCUGAGGAGCGAAAGCGUGGGGAGCAAACAGG
This 254-nucleotide ribosomal RNA is filed under the name uncultured bacterium. RNAcentral describes it as "partial 16S ribosomal RNA". It matches the Rfam family "Bacterial small subunit ribosomal RNA", at positions 524 to 776 of the family's 1533-position model. The record is from RNAcentral.